GAAUGCAUAGAAAGUACCAAUCUUGUAUAUAGAGACAGAGACAUAUAAUACAAUAUCUCUGAUAGAGAUCAUUCAAAAGAUAAAAACAAACUCGAAAAUGAUUAAAAGGAAAUGUGGGGCAAAUGGAUAACAGUCUGUGCGUGACCUGUUGCAAUGCAAGUUUUCUGAUCGUAUCUAAUAUACUCAUUUCCCAGUGACAGUCCAUAAUUCUAGCCUUUCAUACCGGUUGUCCUAUCUGCUGAACAUACAUUUUGUAUUUAUUGUUAAUUUGUUCUGGUCCUGAAUAUACAUGAAAUGUUUGCCACUUGACAUAAAGCAUAUCAGAAACUAGCUAUCAACAUAGGAUUAGGGCAAGCACUCCAUCAUACUUCAAACUACAAAUCCACCCAAGAAUUGUGUAUAAAUUUAACAGAUAAGACAUGCAUGUAGUAUUCAAUUUGUUGAGAUUCCCGACAUAUUAUCUUGUGGCUGCGGAAAAGCCAGUACCAUGACUUUUUCUCCAAUAGUGUAAAAAUAAAUGGUAGAACUGAAACGUACAAUAAAAAAAAUCAGAAAAGGCUCUCAAUUAAGUGGCAAUUGUAUCCCAAAAGAUGAAGUUCUGUAUUAACCAUCAUUAGAAAAUUCAAAAUAAAACAUUGGAAAGCUAAGGAUGCAAACAUACUUGAUGCAUUCCGAUCGCACAUUCUAAUUUUUAUAAAUAUGUUGUUUACCGAGCCCGGAAAUUUAGAUACGACCCGGGUAAACUUGAAGAUCUUUUUAAUAAUCUUAUUCUUAAAGGCUACCCAUUAAACAACGUAU
This 798-nucleotide long non-coding RNA is filed under the name Mytilus galloprovincialis (Mediterranean mussel). The record is from RNAcentral. Lineage: Eukaryota; Metazoa; Mollusca; Bivalvia; Mytilida; Mytilidae.